AUUACUAUUUACCAGAGAACUACGAAUUAAAAAUUUAAAACUCAAAGGGCUUGGCGGUGCUUUAGACCCCUCAGGGGAACCUGUCUCGUAAUCGACAGUCCACGAUAUAUCUUACCUCUUUUUGCAUGUCAGUAUGUAUACCGUCGUCGUCAGGUAACUUCUAAAAAUGUAAAAGUUAGCAAAAAUAAGUUUAACUUAAGACGUCAGAUCAAGGUGCAGCCUAUAAAGAGGAGAGGAUGGGUUACAAUUAAAACUCAUAAUUACGGAAGGGAGCUUGAAUAAACUUUAUUUGAAGGCGGACUUGAAAGUAAAAAUUUAUAUAUA
RNAcentral lists this ribosomal RNA (324 nucleotides) under Bembicium vittatum. Its description in RNAcentral is "partial 12S ribosomal RNA". Lineage: Eukaryota; Metazoa; Mollusca; Gastropoda; Littorinimorpha; Littorinidae. The record is from RNAcentral.